ACUUCUGAAAUGUUGACCUCGGAUCAGGUAGGAACUAUUACCCGCUGAACUUAAGCAUAUCAAAAGCCGGGAGGA
RNAcentral lists this ribosomal RNA (75 nucleotides) under Trichoderma brevicompactum. RNAcentral describes it as "partial 28S ribosomal RNA". Lineage: Eukaryota; Fungi; Ascomycota; Sordariomycetes; Hypocreales; Hypocreaceae. The record is from RNAcentral.